CAAAACGACUCUCGGCAACGGAUAUCUCGGCUCUCGCAUCGAUGAAGAACGUAGCGAAAUGCGAUACUUGGUGUGAAUUGCAGAAUCCCGUGAACCAUCGAGUCUUUGAACGCAAGUUGCGCCCGAAGCCUUCGGGCCGAGGGCACGCCUGCCUGGGCGUCAC
Molecule: ribosomal RNA, 163 nt
Filed under: Chaenomeles speciosa (common flowering quince)
Lineage: Eukaryota; Viridiplantae; Streptophyta; Magnoliopsida; Rosales; Rosaceae
Also listed under: 1 other name
Description: 5.8S ribosomal RNA
Rfam family: 5.8S ribosomal RNA
About the family: 5.8S ribosomal RNA (5.8S rRNA) is a component of the large subunit of the eukaryotic ribosome. It is transcribed by RNA polymerase I as part of the 45S precursor that also contains 18S and 28S rRNA.
Source: RNAcentral